This 410-nucleotide ribosomal RNA is filed under the name uncultured beta proteobacterium. Its description in RNAcentral is "bacterial SSU rRNA". It matches the Rfam family "Bacterial small subunit ribosomal RNA", at positions 9 to 417 of the family's 1533-position model. Lineage: Bacteria; Pseudomonadati; Pseudomonadota; Betaproteobacteria. The record is from RNAcentral.
GAGUUUGAUCUUGGCUCAGAUUGAACGCUGGCGGCAUGCUUUACACAUGCAAGUCGAGCGGCAGCGCGGGGCAACCUGGCGGCGAGCGGCGAACGGGUGAGGAAUACAUCGGAACGUGUCCCGUAGUGGGGGAUAGCCCGGCGAAAGCCGGAUUAAUACCGCAUAUGCUCUACGGAGGAAAGCCGGGGAUCCUGCGAAGGACCUGGCGCUAUGGGGGCGGCCGAUGUCCGAUUAGCUAGUUGGUGGGGUAAAGGCCCACCAAGGCGACGGAUCGGUAGCUGGUCUGAGAGGAUGAUCAGCCACACUGGGACUGAGACACGGCCCAGACUCCUACGGGAGGCAGCAGUGGGGAAUUUUGGACAAUGGGGGGCAACCCUGAUCCAGCCAUGCCGCGUGCGGGAAGAAGGCCU